RNAcentral lists this ribosomal RNA (560 nucleotides) under Hypocreales sp. IFW0. Its description in RNAcentral is "SSU rRNA". It matches the Rfam family "Eukaryotic small subunit ribosomal RNA", at positions 196 to 761 of the family's 1831-position model. Lineage: Eukaryota; Fungi; Ascomycota; Sordariomycetes; Hypocreales. The record is from RNAcentral.
AAGGGGUGUAUUUAUUAGAUUAAAAACCAAUGCCCUUUGGGCUCCUUGGUGAAUCAUGAUAACUUCUCGAAUCGCAUGGCCUUGCGCCGGCGAUGGUUCAUUCAAAUUUCUUCCCUAUCAACUUUCGAUGUUUGGGUAUUGGCCAAACAUGGUCGCAACGGGUAACGGAGGGUUAGGGCUCGACCCCGGAGAAGGAGCCUGAGGAACGGCUACUACAUCCAAGGAAGGCAGCAGGCGCGCAAAUUACCCAAUCCCGACUCGGGGAGGUAGUGACAAUAAAUACUGAUACGAGGCUCUUUUGGGCCUUGUAAUUGGAAUGAGUACAAUUUAAAUCCCUUAACGAGGAACAAUUGGAGGGCAAGUCUGGUGCCAGCAGCCGCGGUAAUUCCAGCUCCAAUAGCGUAUAUUAAAGUUGUUGUGGUUAAAAAGCUCGUAGUUGAACCUUGGGCCUGGCUGGCCGGUCCGCCUCACCGCGUGUACUGGUCCGGCCGGGCCUUUCCCUCUGUGGAACCUCAUGCCCUUCACUGGGUGUGACGGGGAAGCAGGACUUUUACUGUGAA